This 428-nucleotide ribosomal RNA is filed under the name Acanthamoeba sp. RNAcentral describes it as "SSU rRNA". It matches the Rfam family "Eukaryotic small subunit ribosomal RNA", at positions 748 to 1127 of the family's 1831-position model. The record is from RNAcentral. Lineage: Eukaryota; Discosea; Longamoebia; Acanthamoebidae.
UUUGGCCCAGAUCGUUUACCGUGAAAAAAUUAGAGUGUUCAAAGCAGGCAGAUCCAAUUUUCUGCCACCGAAUACAUUAGCAUGGGAUAAUGGAAUAGGACCCUGUCCUCCUAUUUUCAGUUGGUUUUGGCAGCGCGAGGACUAGGGUAAUGAUUAAUAGGGAUAGUUGGGGGCAUUAAUAUUUAAUUGUCAGAGGUGAAAUUCUUGGAUUUAUGAAAGAUUAACUUCUGCGAAAGCAUCURCCAAGGAUGUUUUCAUUAAUCAAGAACGAAAGUUAGGGGAUCGAAGACGAUCAGAUACCGUCGUAGUCUUAACCAWAAACGAUGCCGACCAGCGAUUAGGAGACGUUGAAUACAAAACACCACCAUCGGUUGCGGUCAUCCUUGGCGUCUCGGUUUCGGCCGGGGCGCGGGGAKGGCUWWRSCCCC